Molecule: ribosomal RNA, 253 nt
Filed under: uncultured bacterium
Lineage: Bacteria
Description: partial 16S ribosomal RNA
Rfam family: Bacterial small subunit ribosomal RNA
Source: RNAcentral
UACGAAGGGUGCAAGCGUUAAUCGGAAUUACUGGGCGUAAAGCGUGCGCAGGCGGUUUUGUAAGCCAGAUGUGAAAUCCCCGGGCUCAACCUGGGAAUGGCAUUUGGGACUGCAAGGCUUGAGUGCGGCAGAGGAGACUGGAAUUCCUGGUGUAGCAGUGAAAUGCGUAGAUAUCAGGAGGAAUACCGAUGGCGAAGGCAGGUCUCUGGGCCACUACUGACGCUGAGAAGCGAAAGCGUGGGGAGCGAACAGG